Molecule: ribosomal RNA, 892 nt
Filed under: uncultured soil bacterium
Lineage: Bacteria
Description: bacterial SSU rRNA
Rfam family: Bacterial small subunit ribosomal RNA
Source: RNAcentral
AGAGUUUGAUCCUGGCUCAGAAUGAACGUUGGCGGCGUGGAUUAGGCAUGCAAGUCGGACGGGCCGCAAGGCCAGUGGCGUAAGGGUGAGUAAGGCGACGGCAACCAUCCCCACGGUUGGGUAUAGCCGCGAGAAAUCGCGGGUAAUCCCCAGCGACGCGCGGCGUCGGCAUCGACGCCCCGCCAAAGGCUCGCCGCCGUGGGACGGGCCGUCGUGGUAUUAGGUCGUUGGCGGGGUAACGGCCCACCAAGCCUGCGAUGCCUACCGGGUGUGCGAGCAUGGCCCGGCACACUGGGACUGAGACACUGCCCAGACUCCUACGGGAGGCUGCAGUCGAGAAUCUUCGGCAAUGGGCGCAAGCCUGACCGAGCGACGCCGCGUGGAGGACGAAGGCCUUCGGGUUGUAAACUCCUGUCGAGGGGAAGGAAGGGGCCGCAAGGCCCUUGACCGCUCCCUGGAGGAAGCACGGGCUAAGUUCGUGCCAGCAGCCGUGGUAAGACGAACCGUGCGAACGUUAUUCGGAAUCACUGGGCUUAAAGCGCGUGUAGGCGGGAUGGCGCGUCGGCCGCUGAAAUCCCCCGGCUCAACCGGGGAAGUGGCGCCGAUACGGCCGCCCUGGAGCGACGUAGGGGGGACCGGAACUUCCGGUGGAGCGGUGAAAUGCGUUGAGAUCGGAAGGAACGCCCGUGGCGAAAGCGGGUCCCUGGACGUCGGCUGACGCUGAGACGCGAAAGCCAGGGGAGCGAACGGGAUUAGAUACCCCGGUAGUCCUGGCCGUAAACGAUGGGCACUGGGUAGGGGGCUCGCCGAUGGGCUCCCUGCCGUAGGGAAACCGUGAAGUGCCCCGCCUGGGGAGUAUGGUCGCAAGGCUGAAACUUAAAGGAAUUGACGG